UACGUAGGGGGCAAGCGUUGUCCGGAAUUACUGGGCGUAAAGCGUGCGCAGGCGGUUUUGUAAGCCAGAUGUGAAAUCCCCGGGCUUAACCUGGGAAUGGCAUUUGGGACUGCAAGGCUUGAGUGCGGCAGAGGAGACUGGAAUUCCUGGUGUAGCAGUGAAAUGCGUAGAUAUCAGGAGGAAUACCGAUGGCGAAGGCAGGUCUCUGGGCUGACACUGACGCUCAUGCACGAAAGCGUGGGGAGCAAACAGG
This 253-nucleotide ribosomal RNA is filed under the name uncultured bacterium. Its description in RNAcentral is "partial 16S ribosomal RNA". It matches the Rfam family "Bacterial small subunit ribosomal RNA", at positions 524 to 776 of the family's 1533-position model. The record is from RNAcentral.